GCUCUUCGCGAAAGAGACGCGAAUGUUCUGACACCCCAGAUUGCAAUCCCCACUGUAACAGUUUGCGGUAUUGGCAACGCAUACGCAUUUGAAGCGUUCAUUGCUUGAUAAUCCACAUCCACGGUCGCAACGCAAUCGAAGGAUGAUGAAACUACGGUGGAUGAACUUACAAGGCGAAAACAUCUACAGACAUGCGACUUGUUCCGUGCCCGCUCGGCCGCCGACUCCUCUUCGCGCGAGCUCUCUCGCUCUCUCGCUCUCUCACACUCUCAGUCUGUAUCUUCCAAUCGCGUUGCAACCCAGUCCAUCGCGUGAAAGUGAUCGACAUUUGCCGGAACAGGUUCCAGUGCAUUUCUGGAAUUGUCGGCGUGCUUCACGUUGCGCUUCCGCUCGGAGCCCAAUUGACGCGCUAAAUGGUGGUGGAAAACGUGGGAGCAUUGUCUUGUAAUUCAGGGAUGGAUUGGAUGGGUUGGAGUGAACAUGAUCUUAUAUGUAGCGCACAAGUGAAUCAUUGAAUGAAACUAGUUCUAGUUGCUUGGGAGGUUUGACCUGAUCAGCACAUGAUUUGAUAGAACUUUGCACAAUCGGAACAAUCGUAACCAUUUGAGGCAAUAUACUCAUUUUAUUAGAUCUUGGAUAUGUAGAUUUAGGAGCAAGGACAAAUAGUUAUACUUGUUUUACACGGUGGGAGAUUAGGAAUUGGUAGUAUGCACAUAAACUAGAAUGGAGUGGGACAGUAAAAUUACAAAAAAUGCAAAAACAAAAGUUUUUAAGUAGAGGUUGGUGGUGUACUAUUGCAAAUGUGUUGUCAUAAUGCAAUGAUAAGUGCACAAGAUAUAAGAGUGAAAGUGUAAAAAAGAAUGAAAUCACUUUGAAGAUAGUCAUAGAAAUAGUCAUUAGAUUAAUAGCUUUUAUGGAUGUGAUUUAUGGCUUUCUACAUGAAAUUUAUUGUAAUGGAUGGAAGUGUUGUAGAAGAAAA
Non-coding RNA from Physcomitrium patens, 979 nucleotides. The record is from RefSeq and is a predicted model, not a curated record. NCBI's taxonomy places the organism in Eukaryota, Viridiplantae, Streptophyta, Bryopsida, Funariales, Funariaceae.